CCCCCACUCGGCGGGUCCGGACGGAUCUCCGAAGGGUCGGGAGGCGGCUCCCCCCCCCGGAGCCCGGGAAGAUGGUGCAUCCCGCUCGGCCUCGAUCACGUGGGCGCCUCCUCUGUGACGUCGGCCGCUUCAAUGUAGCAAAGCUCGGCCUCUGGAAUUCUGAGAACUAAUUUGCUAUUCGGUGACAUAAGAGGGGGGAGCGCGCGCCGCCUGCCCGGGGUCUGGGGCUCCUUCCCUGUCUCGCGCCCAUAAACACCACCACCACCUCCACGAGCUCAGGGCACCAAACGGGGGGCAGGGGCUCUGGGCCCCUGAAGGAAGCCCGCCUGCCCCGAUGUAGGUUAGGCAGCUCGAGCCAAACAAUAAACACUCUUCCAGGGCACGGGGAGAGAGGACACAAGGAGAGAGGGAGAGCUUUCGAUCUAGAAUCUCAGCACAUUGGCAAAGCCGUGUUUGGUCUGUAGUUGGACCUGGGAGCCAUGUGAGGACUGGCGGGGAAGAAACCCUCCCAACCCAGUUUUCCCCAGUGCAUUCAUUUUCCAAAACUUCCCAGGACUUAUUUAUAAAAAGGAAAUGCAUGGAGGCACAGGAUUUUGAGAGCUGGACAGAACGAUGCAUCACAGAUUGCCAGGCAAGUGCUCAUCCCACCUCUGCUUGAAGACCUCCAAGGAGGGACAACGCACUCCCCACCAGGGCAGCCCAUACUAGUUGGGAGCUCCUCCAUCGGGACCAAAGAGAAGAAAUGUCAUCCCUCCACCACACGACAACCUUUGAAAGACUUGAGCAAAAUGAUCAGAUGCCCCCCUUGCCUUUUCUUCUUGGAGCUGAGCAUUCCCAGGCCUGUUGACUGAUUCUCGGAGGACAUGGAGAAGACUCAGAGCCCUUCACCAUUCAGGUCAUCAUUCCCUGGACACCCACCUUAUCGAUGCCCUUCUUAAAUCAAGCCACGCCCAGAACUAAACACAACACUGUAGAUUCUCGCUUCUCAAACUAUAGGCUGCAGCAGUAAAGAGCUAUGUAUAGGGGCAGCUAGAUGGCGCAGUGGAUAGAGCACCGGCCCUGGAUCCAGGAGGACCUGAGUUCAAAUCCAGCCUCAGACACUUAACACUUCAUAGCUGUGUGACCCUGGGCAAGUCACUUAACCCCAACUGCCUCACUAAAAAAAAAAAAAAAAAAGAGCUAUGUAUAGCUAUUUCAUAUACGGAUAUGCCUGGGGUUCUGUAAAAAUUUCUUGGGUGAAAAGGGGUUGAGAGUUGAAAACAUUUAAGUAGCCCUGGUCCAGGAGAGUGGUAAGAAAAUCAGAGAUACUUUGACAAAAGUCUGGUUAAAACCUUGGUAAACAGAACCCUGCUGUCAUUGCAGUUAAGUAGAUCUUAAUAAAUUUGUUCAUACACUUAGGUUUCCCAGAGAUUAACAUGAACAAUUGCCCGUGAUAAAUUUUACUAUAAUGCAAACAACCCUCCCCAUAUAGUUCUGUUUUGUCAAUUCAAAAUUUUUCAUAUGGUAAAAGCAAGACUGCUCUGCAAUCUGACUGAAAGAAUGAAUGAUAAUUAUGAGGACUCUUGAGGAAACAUGCCCCUGACCUCCUGAUAGCUGGAGACAGUAAGAGCUCAGAGGGCAAAAUAAGACAGCUAUUGGUUUGGACAUGGCCAAUGAGGCCCAUGAAGAUUUUUGUUUGCUUGACUAGGUUUUGUUUUGUUUAAUUCUCAUUUGGCAAUGAGGGUGGAUUUUUAAUGAUUAAAAAAACACAUAUGUAUAAGUGCAUGUGUAUAUAUGAAACAUGUACACACAUUUAUUAAAGGGUAUGGAAAGACAUCCGGGAGGAGACACAUCUAGACAGAAGAAAGAAGGCUGGAUUGGGGGUCAGAGGAUGUGCUUUCAAAUCCUAGCUAUUCUUGCAACGUACAUGACCUUGGGCAAGUCACAAUUUCUCAAGUUUAUCAUUUGUAAAUGAGGAUGGCCAUUUAUAGAAAGGUCAGCCCUACUUUGAGUCUCUCAACCCAUGACAGGGCUGUCUUUCACUGAAACAAUGGGUCAGCAUUACAGAAGCCUCAAGUUACAGGUGACUUCAGUGAUCACCCAGCCCAGCCUGGGCUCACCAGUAGGGCUGGCAUCAGAUCCAGCUCUCACUGAGAUAGAGCCAGAGCGGUGGCUCAUUCGACCCUCAUAUUCCUUUAACUCUAGGGAGUGUUAUCUGUCUUCAAGCCCAAAUCUGCCUCCUUGUAAGCUGUGCCCAAUCCUCUGAGGAUGAUCUGACCCCUCCUCCAUGUGACAACCACACUGGUGCUUGAAGGUGGCUACUGUCCAGACCAGAAGUCCCUAACCCCUUCAUCCUAUCUUUGAUCUUCUGCCUUGAUCUACACUGACUCUCCUGAACCAUAGGCUAAACUGGAUGUUUUGUUUUUUUUUUUUAAUGAGCAGUCAAGUCAGGGGAGGGGAGAUGCCUGGUUUUCUAGAGAGUUCAUACAUCCUGGGCUCUAGGAGAGUGACAUCAAGGGAUGAAAUCUCCUCUGCACCCAGCUGAAUGUCAGGACCCUGGGACAAAGGCUUGUUGGCCCCUUGCUAGUUUUGUGCAGACAGCUAGACUGUACCUAAUUGUUCAGAAGGGCAUCAGGACCACCUCCUGCCUCUUCAGAGAUGGCAUGGAAUGCAGCAUGCAAUUCCUGCAUUCCUGUAAUAGAGCAAGUGACCCUAAGGACAUGAGAAAAUCACUUUUCUUUUUCUUUUGUUUGUUUAUUUGUUUCUUUUUUUUUUCAAAGUCUCGAGUUACAUAUCUUGCUCAGUGUUGGAGUUUUCCCCACCUUCAUUUCACUAAGGGUUUCUUCCUUCCUGAGGUGAACUCGUGAGUCUGACCCUGAGAUCAGUAGGAGGAAUGUGUUUGGGGUCCCUGGGGUCCAGGACCAAAGCUCGAGGUUGUCAGUUGUUGAUAAAAUGAUUUGGCUGAUGCCGAGAAAGAGAGGAAACAAAGCGAACCAUUUCACCCAUUCCUUUCAAUGAGUUUAUUUUCCUUAGAACACACAAAUUUGAUAUGGAGACUAGGUCAUGGGAACAGAAACUUGCAGUAGGAAGAGAUCAGAAAAGUCUUCUAGUCUAGCCCCCUCACUUUACAGGGGAGGAAACUGAGUCAGAGAGCUGUGAAGUGCCUUGUCUAAUGUCACCCCAGCAAUUAGUAGCCAAGAGGGGGCGGGCAUCUGGGUCCUAGGCCUCUGUCUUCUGUGCCUAACUUUUCCAGGGCUCUCCUGGGGCCCAGAAGCUUGGACAGCCGGGAGCUACAAAGGGAUGAACCCGGCCACAGAUGGUGUGCCUAGGUGACUUUGGACUCCUUCAUCUAUCAGACCAGAGCCUUGGGCCUCCAAAGGCCCUCCUCACUCUGGAUCCAGGGCCCUGUGAUCCCUAAUUCCCAGGGGUUUGUCUGCACCAUCACCUGAUUAUGGUCACGAUGGUUUCCCCAUAGCAACCGACAGCCACUUUCUGCUGAGGUGUGGAAAGAGUCCAAUCGUGCCCCCUCUGCAUGAUGCUCCCCAAGCCUUGACCUCCAGGUCCAGACCCAGACACCCCUGAUCGACAUACUGUGACCUUUAGAAUCCAUACCCUUGCAGGCUCUUUCAAGCCAAAUCAGCCUCCACAGUGUUCUCCAUAUUGACAUUUUACCUCCAACCUCCACACCUUUGCCCAAGCUGGCCCCCGUCCCUGGCAAGCCCUCCCUCUUCUUACAAUACUUAGCUUCUUUCACAAUGCAGCUCAAGAACCACCUUCAAUCUGAGGCCUUUCCUGAGACUACCUCUCUCCACCCAACUCAUUUUCCAUUGACUCAGUUUACAUUCGCCAUUUACAUGCAUGUGUAAUCCAGCUAGAAACCACAAGCGUGUACAUGCAUCUGUUAUUUUCUCCCAAUGGGAUGUAGGUGCUUUGAGGAUGGAGCAGCUAGGUGGCUAAGUGGAUAGAGUGCCUGGCCUGGGGUCAGGAAGACUCAUCUUUGUGAGUUCCAAUGUGGUCUCAAAUACUUUUAGCUGUGUGACCCUGGGCAAGUCACU
This is a long non-coding RNA of Dromiciops gliroides (monito del monte), 4034 nucleotides long. RefSeq lists it as uncharacterized. The record is from RefSeq and is a predicted model, not a curated record. The transcript is spliced from 5 exons. Lineage: Eukaryota; Metazoa; Chordata; Mammalia; Microbiotheria; Microbiotheriidae.